This 29-nucleotide non-coding RNA is filed under the name Homo sapiens (human). The record is from RNAcentral. Lineage: Eukaryota; Metazoa; Chordata; Mammalia; Primates; Hominidae.
UGCAAAACCUCACCCAUGUAGUGUGUGCA